GCACGGGUCACUUCCUGUCUUUCUGUUGCUGUGAAUGAAAUAAAAUGGAGACCUUUGUGUUCAUCACAGCUUUGCUGUUUGCCUUUGAAUAUGCUCACUGUGACCCCACACUGACGGAGUCUGAUCCACAGGUGAAGAAGCCUGGAGAAUCCGUCAGGCUCUCCUGUAAAAUUACUGGAUUCUCUCUCAGCAGCAACAGCGUGCACUGGGUUCGACAGGCUCCAGGCAAAGGGCUGCAAUGGGUUGGAUACUACGAGGGUUCCUUCCACAGUCGUUUCAAAGUGACAGAAGAUUCAUCCAACAGCAUUGCUUACUUGGACAUCACAGACCUCCAGCCCUCAGACACAGCCGUGUAUUACUGUGCCCGAGACUAA
This is a non-coding RNA of Conger conger (European conger), 374 nucleotides long. Lineage: Eukaryota; Metazoa; Chordata; Actinopteri; Anguilliformes; Congridae. The record is from the annotation of a RefSeq genome assembly.